RNAcentral lists this ribosomal RNA (254 nucleotides) under uncultured bacterium. RNAcentral's name for it is "partial 16S ribosomal RNA". It matches the Rfam family "Bacterial small subunit ribosomal RNA", at positions 524 to 777 of the family's 1533-position model. The record is from RNAcentral.
GACAGAGGGUGCAAACGUUGUUCGGAAUUACUGGGCGUAAAGCGCGUGUAGGCGGCUCUGCAAGUCGGGUGUGAAAUCCCAUGGCUCAACUAUGGAAGUGCACUCGAAACUGCAGGGCUAGAGUCCUGGAGAGGAAGGUGGAAUGCUUGGUGUAGAGGUGAAAUUCGUAGAUAUCAAGCGGAACACCGGUGGCGAAGGCGGCCUUCUGGACAGUGACUGACGCUGAGACGCGAAAGCGUGGGGAGCAAAGCAGG